This 428-nucleotide ribosomal RNA is filed under the name uncultured prokaryote. Its description in RNAcentral is "bacterial SSU rRNA". It matches the Rfam family "Bacterial small subunit ribosomal RNA", at positions 355 to 774 of the family's 1533-position model. The record is from RNAcentral.
UGAGGAAUAUUGCGCAAUGGGGGAAACCCUGACGCAGCGACGCCGCGUGGGUGAUGAAGGCCUUCGGGUUGUAAAGCCCUGUUUGAGGGGAAGAAAGGACAUGUAGCUAAUAUCUGCAUGUAUUGACGGUACCCUCAGAGGAAGCACCGGCUAACUCCGUGCCAGCAGCCGCGGUAAUACGGAGGGUGCGAGUGUUAUUCGGAUUUACUGGGCGUAAAGAGCACGUAGGCGGAUUGGCAAGUCAGAUGUGAAAGCCCGGAGCUUAACUCCGGAACUGCAUUUGAUACUGCUAGUCUUGAGUGUGGUAGAGGGGGGUGGAAUUCCCGGUGUAGAGGUGAAAUUCGUAGAUAUCGGGAGGAACACCAGAGGCGAAGGCGACCCCCUGGGCCAUAACUGACGCUGAGGUGCGAAAGCGUGGGGAGCAAACA